RNAcentral lists this ribosomal RNA (497 nucleotides) under uncultured bacterium. RNAcentral's name for it is "partial 16S ribosomal RNA". It matches the Rfam family "Bacterial small subunit ribosomal RNA", at positions 28 to 507 of the family's 1533-position model. The record is from RNAcentral.
GAUGAACGCUGGCGGCGUGCUUAAUACAUGCAAGUCGAGCGGACAGACGAUGCUCUUGCUGCUCUCACGUGAGCGGCGGACGUGUGAGUCACACGUGUAUAACCUACCUAUAUGUCUGGUAUCUCUUCGGGAAACCGGAGCUAAUACCGUAUAAUAUAUUGAACCGCAUGGUUCAAUAGUGAAAUACGGUUUUUCGGGCAGUUAUAGAUGGAUCCCCGCCGGAUUAGCUAGUUGGUACGUUAACGGCUUACCAAGGCAACGAUGCGUAGGCGACGGGUGGGGGUGAUCGGCGACACUGGAACUGAGACGCGGUCCAGGCUCCUACGGGAGGCAGCAGUAGGGAAUCGGAGGCAAUGGGCGAAAACAUGACGGAGCAACGCCGCGUGAGUGAUGAAGGUCUUCGGAGCGUAAAAAUCUGUUAUGAGGGAAGAACAAAUGUGUAAGUAACUAUGCACGUCUUGACGGUAACUAGUCAGGAAGCAACGGCUAACUACGUG